AGACAUUUUAACAAUAUUAAUUCUCUCAGUUCAUGAGCAUGGAAUUACCUUUCCAUUUGUUUGUGUCAUCUUCAAUUUCGUUCAUUAAUAUUUUAUAUUUUUUGAGAUUACAGGUGUUUCACCUUCUUGGCUAAGUUUAUUCCUAGGUAGUUUUUUGGUGUGAUUAUAAAUGGUAUUUUUAAAUUUUAAUUUCUGACUGUUCAUUGCUAAUGUAUAGAAAUACAAUUGAAAUUUUUAUAUUGAUCUUGUAUCUUGGAUCCUUGCUGAACUUACUUAUUAGUUCCAAUAACUUCAAAAAGUAGAUUUCUUAAGAUUUCCUACAAAGAUGAUCAUAUUCUCUGUGAAUAAAGGCAAUUUUAUUUCCUUCUUCCCAGUAGAAUCUUUUUAUUUAUUUUCUUUACUUGAUUUUAUCAGCUAGGCUAAAAUCAAGUUCAAGUUCCAAAGGGAGACCAUCUAGCUCACUGUCUCCUUUUACAGAUGAGAGAAUGGAGGAUCUGAGGAGAGAAAAACAUUGCCUUCGGCCAUACAGACAGUUAGAGGCAGAUUUACUACACAGCCGUACGACCCAUUCACAGCUUUCAGAUGCUAUGUUGAUGGUCACCAGUUCCCACAGAGAAAGCAACAGAGCCGGAAGGAAAUAGGAGCCAUGGCCAUCGACUAUCUCCUUGGGAUCCAGGGGAAAAGAAUUAUGUAUCUUUGUUGCUCUUACAUUUUCAUCCAUAAAGUGGGACUCUUGGCCUCAUGGACACUUGUAAGAAAUGCCUGUACUGGCAUCACAUUUUAGGCCGAUAUUUCAGACAAGCUGCUCUCCUUCAGCAAAGGAAGAACUGGGACAGAACCUCUCUGGUCCCUCAAGGGGAAAGGCUGAAAGAGGAGAAGGACGUGGAAGAAGAGAAAGGUGUGUUACAGAACAACAGAAAAUAUACUGCUUUUUUCGGUUGUUCGCUGGGGAGAGGAAUUAGUUGGGAUGAAGCCCUGCGCUCAGGUCUGACACCAAAAGCCCUCCUCCUGCUAAUUCAGACAUGGGCGGGGGGGCUGCAAGUGCUACCUCCCACAGAGGAUGCCUCUGGUGACUCCAGAAGGACCUGCAGAUAGAGUUGUCUUUUCAACACUGGGGACCCUUGAAGUCUUUGGUGGACACUCAGCUCCGGGCAGGCUGUGACCACAUGGGCACAGCCUGGGGGGUGGGUAGAGCUGAGAUAUGGGAAUGGGUAUGGCAAGCAGCAACCUUGAUUGAACAACUAAUAGCGAGACUAAAACAAAAUUACUUUUGAAAGGAGUAGGAGCUUGGACUUGUUCUGCGUUAUCGCCCUGAAGGCCUGUUUGGGUGAGCAAGAACGGAGCCCAGCAGGAAUUUCCAGACAGGGGCUAUUUCCGGAGUCAGGCAAGAAUGGUCGGUCUCCUGUGGCAAGGGUGCCCAUUCCUGGUGAAGCACACGUGGCCCUCAUCCUGAGGUCCACGGAGGUACAGGGAGGAGCGUGCAGAUCCCGCAGGGAGAGGUGAGCAAGAUUCACUCAGAGAAUUAGGAUGCUGGCCAAGUAGCUGCAUUUCAGGCCGGGAUCCUGGCUCACCAGGAAAAGGGUGAAAUAGAAACAGAAAAUCCUUGCCUUUGGAGCAGGGAGGGCUGCAUUUCACACCAACUCUGGCUUAGAAAACAAGAGUGAUCCUGGACGCCCCCUGCUGGAGAGGAUGUUGCAUCUCAUGGGUGGCCAAGAAGGAGGGCUCCUUGCCUCCAGAGCCAAGUGAAUUGAAUCUCAAAGACCAGGCUUGCAGGGUGGAAUCCCCUCACUCACCCUCUCUCAACACCCCACCAACACCUACUGAUCUCUAGAGCACAGGGGCCUUCUUCCACCUACAAACAGAUCAAGUUUGCACGUGAGUCUUGGCCCCUGGACUCAUCAAUUAUCAGCUCAAGAAAGCCCUGAGUGGAAAAUUCCAAGAGGACCAUGCUGGCUUCAGUGCCUACAGUUCUCUUUAUACGCUGCCAGGUCUGGGUCUCGGGCCCUCUAUUUCUAAGUACGGGCUUUGAGACAGUGGGUCUUGGUGGAGUUGGGCUUGCUUUCACUCACAAGAGCAGUGAUGGUCUCUGAUGGCUACCAGCAUCCAAACCCGAGUGUCCCCUGUGAAGCACUGGAAGAGAGAGGCCAAGAGAGGCAGUAUACCCGACCUGCUGGGGGUCCAUUGCUGGACAACAGGAUCAGAAAAGACCACUGCCCACCAGAAUAGAGCUGUUCAUAAAAUCAAGCGCACAAGCUGAAAAGUUGAGUUUUGUCAACUAGGAGGACAACAAAUGGUUUUGACAGCCAGACCGGGGGAUGGCUUCCCUUACGUCAGAUUCAGAUCAUCACUGCCACCUGUAGGGUUUUUGUCUGCUCACUGGUCUUGUUUUUUGUUUUUAAGAUUUUAUUUAUUUAUUCAACAGAGAUAGAGACAGCCAGCGAGAUAGGGAACACAAGCAGGGGGAGUGGGAGAGGAAGAAGCAGGCUCAUAGCAGAAGAGCCUGAUGUGGGGCUCGAUCCCAUAAGGCCAGGAUCACGCCUUGAGCCGAAGGCAGACGCUUAUCCACUGUGCCACCCAGGUGCCCCCUCACUGGUCUUGUUUUAACCUCACCCGGAGCCCUCUGCUCCAGCCGUGAAAUGGGAUUAAGCCCCGCCCUUCCACAAAAUUAAGACAAGGCUAUUUAUGUGUGUUAAGAUGAAUUGAGACCAUAGCCAAUGGUAAUGAUUUAUUUUUUUAAAGCAUUCGUUUAUUGUGGGAAAAUACACAUAACAUAAAACUUACCAUUUUAGCCAUUUUCAGUAUACAGUUCAGUGGCAUUAAGUACCUUCACACUGUUUUGCAACCAUCACCAUUCUCCAUCUCCAGAACUUUCUCAUCUUUCCAAACGGAAACUUUGCACCUGUUAAACAACCUCUCAUGUCCCCAUUCUACCUUGUGUCUCUAUGAAUCUGACUAUUCUGGGUAUCUCAUAUACAUGGAAUUGUGUAGUCUUUGUCUUUUUGUGACUAACUUAUUUCACCUGGUGUCAUGUCUUCUUUCAGAUGUCUAUGCAGAAGUGGAAUUGCUGGAUCAUAGGGUAGUUCUAUUUUAAAGUUCUUGAGGAACCCACACAUUGUUUUCCUUAUUGGCUGAACCAGUUUCAACUCCCUCCAACAGUGCAUGAGGGUUCCCUUUCUCCACAUCUUCGCCAAUGCUUGAGAUCUCUUGUCCUUGUGUUAACAGCUAUCCUAACAGGUGUGAGGUGGUAUCUCAUUGUGCUUCUGCUUUGCUUUUCCCGGAUGAUGACUGAUCUUGAGUGUCUUUUCAUGCACCUGUUGGCCAUUUGUAUGUCUUCUUGGGAAGAUUGUCUAUUGGGGCCCUUUGCCCAUUUUUAAGUUGGAUCAUUAUUACUAUUAUUAUUUUAAAAGAUUUAUUUAUUUAUUUAUAGAGCACAUGCACGAACUGGGGGGAGAAGGGGACAGAGGGAGAGGGAGAGAAUCCCAAGCUGACUCUGUGCUGAGCUUGGAGCUUGAUGCAUGGUUCAGUCUCACGACCCUGAGAUCAUGUCCUGAGCCGAAAACAAGGGUCAGACGCUUCACCUAUUGAGCCACCCAGGUGCCCCGGAUUAUAAUUUUUUUUAUUAAGUUUUAAGAUUUCCCUAUAUAUUUUGGAUAUCAACCCCUUCUUAGAUGUAUGGUUUGCGGAUAUUUUCUCCCUUUCUGGGGUUGCCUUUCCAUUUUGUUGAUGGCUGCCUUUGCUGUGUAGAAGGGGCUUUUAGAUUUGAUAUAGUUCCCCCUUGUUGAUUUUUGGUUUUGUUGCUUUUGGGCAUCUGGUGUCAUCCAAACACGUCAUUGUCAAGUACAAUCCCAAGGAGCUGUUCCCUGUGCUUUCUUCUAUGAGUUUUAUGGUUUCAAGUUUACAUUUAAGUCUUUAAUCCAACUCAAGGUGAUUUCUGUGAGUGGUGUAAGACAGGGGUCUAAUUUCAUUCUUUUGCAUGUGAAUAUCCAGUUUUCCUAUCACCAUCUAUCAGAGACUGUCCUUUCUCCUUGAGUAUUCUUGGCUGCCUUGUCAAAUAUUAGUUGACCAUAUACACCUGGCUUUAUUUCUGGGCUUUUGAUUCUGUUCCGUUGGUCUAUGUGUCUGAUUUUAAUGCCAGUACCCUACCGUUCUGAUCACUAUAGCUGUGUAAUAUAGCUUGAAACCAGGCAGUGAGAUACCUCCCUCUUUAUUCUUCUUUCUUAAGGUUGCUAUGGCUCUUCGAAGUCUUUUGUGUUUCCAUAUGAAUUUUGGGUUUUUACUAUUUUGGUGCAAAAUGCCAAGGGAAUUUUGAUAGGGAUUGCACUGAAAUACUAGGUCAUUCUGGAAGGAAUGCUUAAACUUCUAAUGGUGACUGAUGAACACAAUGGUGAGGGGGAGAGGGACUUCAGGCUCAUCUAGGCCAGGUUAAGACCUUUAGAAGGUCUGUCUCUCGGCUCCACAUGCUUGCUUCCAAGGGCUGCUUUCCAUCGUUGAGGCUGAAAGCCUGCAGCCUACAUGCUAUGACUCCCUGACUUUUCUCCCCUACAUUUCUUUUCUCCCCUUACAUUCCUGUUAGAACCCACCAAAAAGAGGCCCUAUGACGAGAUCAGAUGGCAAGGAAGAGAGAUAAGGAUCCAUUUCAACAGGUGUUGGAAGUUGCUGGUGUGGCAAUGGACAUGGAGCCCCGGUCUAGUUCAUGCAUCUGGUAGAUCCAGAACCAACCAUGAUGCAGCAGGAAGCAGACGCCCCUGGGGCUGGAAUGCACGACAGAAGCAGGGGUGGGGGCAGCAUAUAAUCACUGAAUUUACCCUUUUAGCUCUUCCUUACUUUUGUACUCAGUUCUCCGUGUUACAUUCCCCCUGCUUGAAAUACCUAGAAUGGUAGCAAUUAUCCUGCCUGGACCCUGAGUGGCAUCCUUUCAUGCAGUUUAAUACAAAAAGAACAUCAAACCUUAAAAAACUUUGGUGUGUAUGCUUCCAGACUUUCCCCCUAGGAUUUUACCAUACAAAUGAUUUAAUACUGUGUGUAUUUACGGAAGUAUUAUCAUUCAUGUGCAUUCUUCCACAACUUGAUUUAAAAAAAAAAUGACAACCAGUCUUGGAGUUCUCGACAUGGUGUUGUAAAUAUGAGCUAAUUGCAUUUAAUCGAUGCCUUGUGUUCUAACAGCCAUUUAUCUACUGAUGGCCAUUCAGGUUUUCAACAUGUCUGCUCUUAAUAAGGCGCUGUGCUGAACAUUCUUUUUUUUUUUUUUUUAAAGAUUUUAUUUAUUUAUUUAUUUUUUAUUUGACAGAGAUAGAGACAGCCAGCGAGAGAGGGAACACAAGCAGGGGGAGUGGGAGAGGAAGAAGCAGGCUCAUAGCAGAGGAGCCUGAUGUGGGGCUCGAUCCCAUAACGCCGGGAUCACGCCCUGAGCCGAAGGCAGAUGCUUAACCGCUGUGCCACCCAGGCGCCCCUGUGCUGAACAUUCUUAAACGUGUGCCCAUGUUUCCCUGUGGUCAUUAACCAGACGUGGGAUCGCAGAGUUGAAGGGUGUACACAUUGUAGAUUUGACUACAGUUUGCCCGAUUGUUCCUCAAAGUGGCCGUACCGAUUUGCACUCCCACCCAGGGGCAGGAGAAUGUCCUCUCCAAUUCUUGCUAUUUC
This 5640-nucleotide long non-coding RNA is filed under the name Ailuropoda melanoleuca (giant panda). Its description in RNAcentral is "lncRNA (ENSAMEG00000030965.1)". The record is from RNAcentral. Lineage: Eukaryota; Metazoa; Chordata; Mammalia; Carnivora; Ursidae.